RNAcentral lists this long non-coding RNA (4208 nucleotides) under Mytilus galloprovincialis (Mediterranean mussel). Lineage: Eukaryota; Metazoa; Mollusca; Bivalvia; Mytilida; Mytilidae. The record is from RNAcentral.
GUCGGCCUAUUCCAGGGCUUCUAGAGAAAAAUAAUGAUGGGUUUCACGGGGAAUGACUAUAUAGGUCUUGUAGAGGAGAAACAGGCGCUUCUUUUGCGCUAGGCAUCGAAGGGCGCUAUGUUCAAAAAUCUGAAACUAGAGCUCAAAAUUUGAAAAAAAUGUCAAAAAAUUAGGGGUUUGGCCUAUUCCAGGGCUUCUAGAGAAAAAUAAUGGGGGGUGUCACGGGGAAUGACUAUAUAGGUCUUGUAGAGGAGAAACAGGCGCUUCUUUUGCGCUAGGUAUCGAAGGGCGCUAUGUUCAAAAAUCUGAAACUAAAGCUCAAAAUUUGAAAAAAAAUGUCAAAAAAAUGGGAGUAGGGUCGGCCUAUUCCAGGAGUUCUAGAGAAAAUAAUGGGGUGUUCAGGGUUAUGACUAUAUAGGUCUUGUUGAGGAAAAAAAAAAGGCACUUCUUUUGCGCUAGGUAUAAAGGGCGCUAUGUUCAAAAAUCUAAACUAGGGCUCAAAUUUGAAAAAAAUGUCAAAAAAUUAGGGGGGUCGGCUAUUACAGGGCUUCUAGAGAAAAAUAAUGAGGGGUGUCACGGGAUAAUACCUAUAUAGGUUUGUAGAGGAGAAACAGCGCUUCCUUUUGCGCUAGGUAUGAAGGGCGCUAUGUUUCAAAAAUCUGAAACUAGAGCUCAAAUUUGAAAAAAUGUAAAAAAAUUAGGGGUCGGCUAUUCUAGGACUUCUAAGCAAAAUAAUGAGGGGUGUCACGGGGUAUGACUAUAUAGGUCUUGUAGAGGAGAAACAGGCGCUUUCUUUUGCACUAGGUAAUGAGGGCGCUAAUAUUCCAAAAAUCUGAAACUAGAGGCUCACAAUUCGACAAAAAUGGGGUAGGGUCGGCCUAUUCAGGAGUCUAGAGAAAUAAUGGGGGGUGUCACGGGUAAUGACUAUAUAGGUCUUGUAAGGAAGAAAAGAGGCACUUCUUUUGCGCUAGGUUCAAAGGGCGCUUGUUAAAAACUACAAAUAGGGCUCAAAUUUUAAAAAAAAUGUCAAAAAUUAAGGGGGGUUUCGCCUAUUCCACGGCUUUUCUAGAGAAAAAAUGAGGGGGUGUCAACGGAAAUGACUAUAUAAGGUCUUGUAGAGAGAAACAGGCACUUUUUGCGCUAGGUUAUCGAAGGCUAUGUUCAAAAAUCUGAAACUAGAGCUCAACAUUGAAAAAAUGUCAAAAAUUAGGGGGUUCGCCUAUUCUAGGACUUCUAGAGGAAAAAAAUCGAGGGGUGUCACGGGUAUGACUAAAUAGUUUGUAGAGAGAAACAGAGCGCUUCUUUUGCAGCUAGGUAAUCGAAGGGCGCUAUAUUCAAAAAUCUGAAACAAGAGCUCAAAAUUCGAAAAAAAUGGAGGGGUAGGGUGGCCUAUUUCCGGAGUUUCUACGAGAAAGAAUAAUGGGGGGUGUCACGGGUUAUGAACUAUAUAGGUCCCUUGUUGAGGAAGAAAAAAGCACUUCUUUUGCGCUAUUGGUAUCAAAAGGGCGACUAUGUUCAAAAAUUAAAACUAGGGCUCUAAAAUUUGAAAAAAAUGUCAAAAAAUUAGGGGGGUCGGCCUAUUCCAGGGCUUCUAGAGAAAAAUAAUGAGGAGUGUCACGGGGAAUGACUAUAUAGGUAUUGUAGAGGAGAAACAGGCGCUUCUUUUGCGCUAGGUAUCGAAGGGCGCUAUGUUCAAAAAUCUGAACUAAUUCUCAAAAUUUGAGAAAAAUGGUCAAAAACAUUGGGGGGUCGGCCUAUCUAGACUUCUAGAGAAAAAUAAUGAGGGGUGUCCGGGUAUGCUAUUAGGUAUUGUAGAGGAGAACAGGCGCUUCUUUGCAACUUAGGUACGAGGGCGCAUAAUAUUCAAAAAUCUGAACUAGAAGCUCAAAUUCGAAAAAAAAUGGGGGUAGGCGGCCUAUCCAGGAGUUCUAGAGAAAAAUAAUGGGUGGGUGUCAGCGGGGGUAUGAUUAUAGGUCUUUGUAGAGGAAAAAGGCACUCUUUUGCGCUAGGUAUCACAGGGCGCUAAAUGUUAAAAAUCUAAAACUAGGGCUCAAGAAUUGAAAAAAAGUCAAAAAAUAAGGGGGUCGGCUAUUUCUAGGGGCUUUAGAGAAAACUAUGAGGGGUGUCCGGGAAUGACUCAUACAGGUCAUUGUAGAGGAGAACAAACAGGCGCUUCUUUUGCAUAGGUAUCGAAGGGCGCUAUAUUCAAAAAUCUUGAAACUAGAGUCAAAAUUUCGAAAAAUGGGGGUGGGUCGGCUAUUCCAAGGAGUAUCUAAGAGAAAAUAAUGGGGGUUGGCACGGGGGUAUCGACUAUAUUGGUCUUGUAAGAGAGAAAAAGGACAUUCUUUUGCGCUACGGUAUCAAGGGCGGCGCUAUGUUCAACAAUCUGAACUAGAGCUCAAAAAAUUGAAAAAAUGUCAAAAAUUAAGGGGGUUCGGCAUUAUAGGACUUCUGAGAAAAAUAUGAGGGGUGUACGGGUAUGACUAUAUAGGUCUUGUAGAGAAAACGCGCUUUCUUUUUGCACUACAGUAUCGAAGGGCGCUAUAUUCAAAUCUGAUAAACUAGAGCUUAAAAUUCAAAAAAAUGGAGGAGGUCGCUAUUCCAGGAGUUCUAGAGAAAAAUAUGGGGGGUGUACGGAUGACUAUAUAGUCUUGUAGAGGAGAAAAAAGGCACUACUUUUUGUGCUAGGUAUCAGGGCGCUAUGAUUCAAAAAUCUAAAACUAGGGCUGAAAAAUUUGAAAAAAAUGUAAACAUUAAGGGGGUCGGCUAUCCAGGGCUUCUAGAGCAAAAUAAUGGGGGUGUCACGGUGAAUGAUAUAUAGGUUUUGUAAAGGAGAAACAGACGCUUUUUGCGCUACGGGUUCGAAGGCGCUAUGUUCAAAAAUCUGGAAACUAUAGCUAAAAAUUUGAAAAAAAUGUAAAAAUUAGGGGGGUGGCCUAUUCUAGGAACUUCUAAGAAAUAAUGGGUGUCAACGGGGUAUGACUAUAUAGGUCUAGUAGAGGAGAAACAGGCGUUGCUUUUGCACUAGGUAUCGAAGGGCGCUAUGUUCAAAAAUCUGAAACUAGAGCUCAAAAUUUGAAAAAAAUGUCAACAAAUUAGGGGGGUCGGCUUAUUCUAGGGCUUCUAGAGAAAAAUAAUGAGGGGUGUCACGGGGUAUGACUAUAUAGGUCAUGUAGAGGAGAAACAGGCGCUUCUUUUACACUAGGUAUCGAAGGGUCGCUAUGUUCAAAAAUCUGAAACUAGAGCUCAAAAUUCGAAAAAAAUGGGGGUAGGGUCGGCCUAUUCCAGGAGUUCUAGAGAAAAAUAAUGGGGGGUGUCAUGGGGUAUGACUAUAUAGGUCUUGUAGAGGAGAAACAGGCGCUUCUUUUGCGCUAAGUAUCGAAGGGCGCUGUAUUCAAAAGCUGAAACUAGAGCUCAAAAUUUGAAAAAAAUGUCAAAAAAUUAGGGGGGUCGGCCUAUUCAGGGCUUCUAGAGAAAAUAAUGAAGGGUGGUCACGGGGAAUGACUAUAUAGGUCUUGUAGAGGAGAAACAGGCGCUUCUUUUGCGCUAGGUAUUCGAAGGCGCUAUGUUCAAAAAUCUGAAACUAGAGCUCAAAAUUUGAAAAAAAUGUCAAAAAUUAGGGGGGUCGGCCUAUUCUAGGACUUCUUAGAAAAAUAAUGAGGGGUGUCACGGGGUAUGACUAUAUAGGUCUUGUAGAGAGAAACAGGCGCUUCUUUUGCGCUAGGUAUCGAAGGGCGCUAUGUUCAAAAAUCUGAAACUAGAGCUCAAAAUUCGAAAAAAAUGUCAAAAAAUUAGGGGGGUCGGCCUAUUUUAGGACUGCUAGAGAAAAAUAAUAAGGGGUGUCACGGGGUAUGACUAUAUAGGUCUUGUAGAGGAGAAACAGGCGCUUCUUUUGCACUACGUAUAGAAGGGCACUAUAUAUGUUCAACAAUCUGAAACUACAGCUCAAAAUUUGAAAAAAAUGUCAAAAACAUAGGGGGGUCGGCCUAUUCUAGGACUUCUAGAGAAAAAUAAUGAGGGGUGUCACGGGGAAUGACUAUAUAGGUCUUGAAGAGGAGAAACAGGCGCUUUUUUUGCGCUAGGUAUCGAAGGGCACUAUGUUCAAAAAUCUGAAACUAGAGCUCAAAAUUUGAAAAAAAUGUCAAAAAAUUUGGGGGGUCGGCCUAUUCUAGGACUUCUAGAGAAAAAUAAUGAGGGGUGUCACGGGG